Molecule: ribosomal RNA, 460 nt
Filed under: uncultured bacterium
Lineage: Bacteria
Description: partial 16S ribosomal RNA
Rfam family: Bacterial small subunit ribosomal RNA
Source: RNAcentral
CCUACGGGGGGCAGCAGUGGGGAAUAUUGCUCAAUGGGCGAGAGUCUGAACCAGCCAAGUAGCGUGAAGGAUGACUGCCCUAUGGGUUGUAAACGUCUUUUAUAAAGGAAUAAAACGAGGCACGUGUGCCUUUUUGCAUGUCCUUUAUGAAUAAAGCUCGGCUAACUGCGUGCCAGCAGCCGCGGUAAUACGGAGGAUCCGAGCGUUAUCCGGAGUGUGUGGGUUUAAAGGGAGCGUAGAUGAGUUGUUAAGUCAGUUGUGAAAGUUUGCGGCUCAACCGUAAAAUUAUAAUUGAUACUGGCAGUCUUGAGUACAGUUGAGGUAGGCGGAAUUCGUGGUGUAGCGGUGAAAUGCUUAGAUAUUACGAAGAACUCCGAUAGCGAAGGCAGCUUACUAAGCUGCCACUGACACUGAUGCUCGAAAGUGUGGGUAUCAAACAGGAUUAGAUACCCUAGUAGUC